CCGCUCCCUCCCCGCCGGAUCUCCCAGUGAGGAGGCUAGGGCUGCCGGAUCCGGUGACCCCAUUCUCCUCGCCGGCGGAUCCGGCGCCCUAGAGAGGAACAAG
Oryza sativa Indica Group (long-grained rice) is the source of this 103-nucleotide microRNA precursor. It matches the Rfam family "MIR1846 microRNA precursor family". NCBI's taxonomy places the organism in Eukaryota, Viridiplantae, Streptophyta, Magnoliopsida, Poales, Poaceae. The record is from Rfam.